RNAcentral lists this ribosomal RNA (486 nucleotides) under uncultured bacterium. Its description in RNAcentral is "partial 16S ribosomal RNA". It matches the Rfam family "Bacterial small subunit ribosomal RNA", at positions 30 to 507 of the family's 1533-position model. The record is from RNAcentral.
AUUGAACGCUGGCGGCAUGCCUUACACAUGCAAGUCGAACGACAGCACGGGUGCUUGCCCCUGGUGGCGAGUGGCGAACGGGUGAGUAAUACAUCGGAACAUGUCCUGUAGUGGGGGAUAGCCCGGCGAAAGCCGGAUUAAUACCGCAUACGAUCUACGGAUGAAAGCGGGGGACCUUCGGGCCUCGCGCUAUAGGGUUGGCCGAUGGCUGAUUAGCUAGUUGGUGGGGUAAAGGCCUACCAAGGCGACGAUCAGUAGCUGGUCUGAGAGGACGACCAGCCACACUGGGACUGAGACACGGCCCAGACUCCUACGGGAGGCAGCAGUGGGGAAUUUUGGACAAUGGGCGAAAGCCUGAUCCAGCAAUGCCGCGUGUGUGAAGAAGGCCUUCGGGUUGUAAAGCACUUUUGUCCGGAAAGAAAUCCUUGGCCCUAAUACGGUCGGGGGAUGACGGUACCGGAAGAAUAAGCACCGGCUAACUACGUG